RNAcentral lists this transfer RNA (58 nucleotides) under Cricetulus griseus (Chinese hamster). It matches the Rfam family "tRNA", at positions 8 to 63 of the family's 71-position model. From Rfam's summary of the family: Transfer RNA (tRNA) molecules are approximately 80 nucleotides in length. Their secondary structure includes four short double-helical elements and three loops (D, anti-codon, and T loops). Lineage: Eukaryota; Metazoa; Chordata; Mammalia; Rodentia; Cricetidae. RNAcentral also lists the same sequence under 1 other name. The record is from Rfam by way of RNAcentral.
UGGCUCAGUAGUUAAGAGCACUGACUGCUCUUUCAGAGGACCUGGGUUCAAUUCCCAG